Molecule: ribosomal RNA, 92 nt
Filed under: Clostridium aestuarii
Lineage: Bacteria; Bacillati; Bacillota; Clostridia; Eubacteriales; Clostridiaceae
Description: partial 23S ribosomal RNA
Rfam family: Bacterial large subunit ribosomal RNA
Source: RNAcentral
ACCCCUGGAAGACUACCAGGUUGAUAGGUCGGAGGUGUAAGCACGGUAACGUGUUCAGCUGACCGAUACUAAUAGGUCGAGGGCUUGAUCAA